Molecule: ribosomal RNA, 691 nt
Filed under: uncultured bacterium
Lineage: Bacteria
Description: bacterial SSU rRNA
Rfam family: Bacterial small subunit ribosomal RNA
Source: RNAcentral
CAGUUGAGGGGCAGCAUAGGGUAGCAAUACCCUGAUGGCGACCGGCAGACGGGUGAGUAACGCGUAUGUAACCUACCCUGUACAGGGGGAUAACCCGGAGAAAUUCGGACUAAUAUCCCAUAGUAAUAUCCGGAGGCAUCUUUGGAUAUUUAAAGUUCCGGCGGUACGGGAUGGGCAUGCGUAACAUUAGCUAGUUGGUAAGGUAACGGCCUACCAAGGCUAUGAUGUUUAGGGGUCCUGAGAGGGUGAUCCCCCACACUGGUACUGAGACACGGACCAGACUCCUACGGGAGGCAGCAGUGAGGAAUAUUGGUCAAUGGGCGCAAGCCUGAACCAGCCAUCCCGCGUGCAGGAAGACGGCCCUAUGGGUUGUAAACUGCUUUUCCAGGGAGAGAAACCUGCGCACGUGUUGCGCAAUUGACGGUACCCUGGGAAUAAGCAUCGGCUAACUCCGUGCCAGCAGCCGCGGUAAUACGGAGGAUGCAAGCGUUAUCCGGAUUCAUUGGGUUUAAAGGGUGCGUAGGCGGACUAUUAAGUCAGUGGUGAAAGCCUGCAGCUUAACUGCAGAACUGCCAUUGAUACUGAUAGUCUUGAGUUUGGUUAAGGUAGGCGGAAUGUGUAAUGUAGCGGUGAAAUGCUUAGAUAUUACACAGAACACCAAUUGCGUAGGCAGCUUACUGAGCCGACACUG